UGGGUCCAUCUAUGGAUCUGAAGGUCCAUCCAUGGGUCCAUCUAUGGAUCUGAAGGUCCAUCCAUGGGUCCAUCUAUAGGUCUGAAGGUCCAUCCAUGGGUCCAUCCAUGAGUCUGAAGGUCCAUCCACGAGUCCAUCUAUGGGUCUUAAGGUCCAUCCAUGGGUCCAUCUAUGGGUCUGAAGGUCCAUCCAUGGGUCCAUCUAUGAGUCUGAAGGUCCAUCCGUGGGUCCAUCCAUGAGUCUUAAGGUCCAUCCGUGGGUCCAUCUAUGGGUCUGAAGGUCCAUCCAUGGGUCCAUCCAUGGGUCUGAAGGUCCAUCCGUGGGUCCAUCCAUGAGUCGGAAGGUCUGAAGGUCCAUCCAUGGGUCCAUCUAUGGGUCUGAAGGUCCAUCCAUGGGUCCAUCCAUAGGUCUGAAGGUCCAUCCAUGGGUCCAUCCAUGAGUCUGAAGGUCCAUCCGUGGGUCCAUCUAUGGGUCUGAAGGUCCAUCCAUGGGUCCAUCUAUGAGUCUGAAGGUCUGUCCACGUCCCCCCCC
Long non-coding RNA from Cuculus canorus (common cuckoo), 531 nucleotides. RefSeq lists it as uncharacterized. The record is from RefSeq and is a predicted model, not a curated record. The transcript has 3 exons. NCBI's taxonomy places the organism in Eukaryota, Metazoa, Chordata, Aves, Cuculiformes, Cuculidae.